UACCCUACUCAUCUCCCUCUUACACACUUAGACCAAAGUCACCAAACCCUUCGCACACUUACAGUCUGAGCUCCAUCGCACAACCAAACGCCUACGCACGCCGUCACAGCCGCCUCCGCUGUCAGGAAAGCCUCCCCGUCGUCUUCGCUCCCACCACCGCAGUCGCCGUUUGCUCUCCGGCCUCUGAAGUUGAAGUUCGUCGGCCUGUUCUCCGAAGCUGUCGCGCACUCGCACUGAACUACUGAAGGUCGAAACCCUCGUCCUAAACCCUUGAGUCGCCGUCUGCUUUCUGGCCUCCACAGCAGAAGCCCGUCGCCCUGUUCUACGAAGCCGUCGCACUGAACUACUGAAGGCCGAAGCCCUCCGCCUCCGCAACCGCAAGCUGCACAGCGGCAAACUAUUGUGCUAAUGAAAGAGGACAUGGCCGGACAUAGAGAAGAGCAAAUGCAAGGAGUAUUGCUAUGUUGGAGGUUUGGUUGAGAUGCAAUUUACUUUGUUUUUUCAACAUUUUUGGAAGUGGUUUUAUUAUAUAGAAGUGACAUUACUACUGGGCAGUUGUCCCCAGAAUGCGUUCUUGAUUACUUGGACCUAUCAUCGGAGUAUAUAGCCUCAGAAAUUGCUAAUAGAAUUGAGGCUGCAAUGCAUAUCUGGAGGCAGAAGCACAAAAAGAAGCAAUAAAAACCGUUGCUUAUGAUGAUUUUGUUGAUGCUGGAUCAUUUGCAGUUGCAAGAGAGAAAAUACUUCUAAGUUUGUUUUUCCAAGUGUUGUUUAUGUUUUCUGUAUGAUUUUUGCAUUUUGAAAUCUAUCACGGUCUAAUUUUGGUGAAGGUCUACAUUUGAUCAAAGUCAUUGAAGAAGGUUGUGGAUGCUGCAUUGAUCAAAGCCAUUGAAGUAGUGCCGGAUUUGAAGGCUUAUUUGGGUGCAGCAUACUUAAGUAGUAUCAAUUAAGUAUAGUAUAUAUUUUCAUGACUUUUUUUUUUUUUAUGAACAUGACAAUAAUUUUUGUUGUAAAGAAUUCUGAUGUUUAAAUAUAUUUUCAAUUUGAAAUUUAGUGU
This is a long non-coding RNA of Ipomoea nil (Japanese morning glory), 1054 nucleotides long. RefSeq lists it as uncharacterized. NCBI's taxonomy places the organism in Eukaryota, Viridiplantae, Streptophyta, Magnoliopsida, Solanales, Convolvulaceae. The transcript is spliced from 3 exons. The record is from RefSeq and is a predicted model, not a curated record.